Molecule: RNA transcript, 2068 nt
Organism: Daucus carota subsp. sativus
Lineage: Eukaryota; Viridiplantae; Streptophyta; Magnoliopsida; Apiales; Apiaceae
Gene name: serine/arginine-rich splicing factor SR34A
Exons: 13
Source: RefSeq, a predicted model, not a curated record
ACACUUAAAAUCAAUAAUAAAAUUGAAAGGGAGCGCUCACGAGCAAAACCCUAAAACCUCUAUCCAAGCCCUCAAUUACAAAUACCCCAUCCCCAUUUCUCUGCGACUACCCAAAUCAAUUGCAACCCUUUUUCGCAGAUUCAAUUUGGGUCUGGCCCAUUAAAUCGUUGAGGAGGUUUUUGUGCUAAUUUGAGUUGAAUAACGAUGAGUAGCCGAUUCUCUCGCACGAUUUAUGUUGGAAAUCUUCCUUUGGACAUAAGGGAGUCUGAAGUUGAGGACCUGUUUUACAAGUAUGGCCGUAUAUUGGAUAUUGAACUGAAGAUUCCAUCUCGUCCUCCUUGUUUUUGUUUUGUGGAGUUUGAGGAUCCCCGGGAUGCUGAAGAUGCAAUUAGGGGUCGAGAUGGCUACAACUUUGACGGUUGUAGAUUGAGGGUUGAACUUGCACAUGGUGGUAGAGGGUCAGUUUCUGGUGAUCGCCGUGGUGGUUAUGGUGGUGGUGGUGGUAGUUUUGGGGGUGGAAGGGGUCGCCCUGCCAUUUCACGCUACUCUGAGUUCCGAGUUAUUGUUCGUGGACUACCAACUUCGGCUUCAUGGCAAGAUUUGAAGGAUCACAUGAGGAAAGCUGGUGAUGUGUCCUUCGCUGAAAUUUCUCGUGACAGAGAGGGCACCUUUGGUCUGGUUGAUUUCACAAAUUAUGAAGACAUGAAAUAUGCUAUUAAGAAACUUGAUGACACCGAGUUUAAAAAUCCGUGGACAAAAACCUAUAUCCGGGAUGGUGCUCAGCUAAUGGGCCAAAUCAAAGUCAGCACCCUAAAAGGAUAGGAUCUAUUAGGAUGUUUCUACAUCCAAGCUUUCUUGCUUUGGCCUCGUGGAUACUGGGGGACACACCUACGGAAAAUAUACAUAGGAUAGUGCAUAUGUAAUGCAUGCCUAGUCGAAUAUCUUAAUUUAUGUAGCUAUCUAUAUAUUAAUUUAAAAAACCUCAAAAUAAACUAAUAUAUAGAUAAAAGAUAAGUACAUAAACUAAGAUAUUUGAAUAGGCAUGUGUAGUCGAUGCCUCUAACCUCUCAUUGCCAAGGAAACAGAAGUAGAGAAGUAUAUAAUAGAAUAUAAAUCGAGAUUUAAUAUUUUGGUUUUCAGCUCUUCAAUUAGACCAUUGAAUUCCUGCAGACACAACAGCAGUUUGGCUGAUACUUAAUAUUUUCAUACAUUAGAAGGGCAAUUUUCACUCGCUUAACAACUUAUGUGGGUCUGCUACUGAUUCUUGCAAUUACAGGCCCCAACUUAAUUUCAUGUUACUCCAAAGUAGAAGCCUGGAACAUUUAAUUAUAACAUCAGAAAGAUAACUAAAUUUUUGAUAGUUAAAUGAAAUCCACUGAAUGACGUGAAAAGUAAAUUAUUUCUAACAUAUUACAUUUUUUUGGACACUUCCGUUUAAAGCUGAUACCUUGGCUCAUAACAAGAAUGUGUGAAUUGUUUCUGAUCUAAAAGCCUUUGAUUUGAUUGUAUUCCGAGUUCAGGUUAGCAAGUUUGACCGCAGUCCAUCAAGAUCAAGAAGCCGAAGUAGGAGCCGGAGUAGGAGUAGAAGCUUAAGAAGGGAUAGGAGCAAAUCUGUGGACCGGUCUGUCUCGAGGUCACCUUCUAAGUCUAGAUCUGCAUCUCCUGUGAAAUCGACCAGGGCAGCAUCUCCUGUAAAAUCUACCAGGGCAGCAUCUCCUGUCAAAUCAUCCAGGCCUAGGUCAAGAUCCUUAUCCGCUUCCCCAAAACAGGUGCGAUCAGGAAGUGCUUGAUACUCUUGCCAGAUAAUCGAAUGUCCAGUGAUGCUUGAAAGGGAGUGUUUGAUAGGAUUCUUAUUGGAAGGAACCCUUGUGUUUAGAGUUUUAUAUUUCUUGAUGAGAAUUAUGAAUUUUAGAAAGCUAAACCUUUUUAUCAUUAAUGUGUUGUAAACUAUUUACGUUAGUAUGGAUUCCAACUUUGAGUCUAGAGGUCAUCUCUGCAUUGCUUCAUUAUUCGAACUUUUUCGAUCAGGGUGUAACCUGGGAGUAAAAUUCUAGUUUUUAAGGCUGAA